RNAcentral lists this non-coding RNA (24 nucleotides) under Arabidopsis thaliana (thale cress). The record is from RNAcentral. Lineage: Eukaryota; Viridiplantae; Streptophyta; Magnoliopsida; Brassicales; Brassicaceae.
UGGCUAAGUCCGUUCGGCGGAAGC